This 253-nucleotide ribosomal RNA is filed under the name uncultured bacterium. RNAcentral describes it as "partial 16S ribosomal RNA". It matches the Rfam family "Bacterial small subunit ribosomal RNA", at positions 524 to 776 of the family's 1533-position model. The record is from RNAcentral.
UACGUAGGAGGCAAGCGUUGUCCGGUUUUAUUGGGUUUAAAGGGUGCGUAGGCGGCCUGAUAAGUUAGUGGUGAAAUCGAGCCGCUUAACGGUAUACUCGCCAUUAAUACUGUCGGGCUUGAGUAAGUGUAAGGGAGAUGGAAAGCGUGGUGUAGCGGUGAAAUGCAUAGAUAUCACGCAGAACGCCGAUUGCGAAGGCAGCUUUCUGUCACUUAACUGACGCUGAGGCACGAAAGCGUGGGUAGCGAACAGG